Manis pentadactyla (Chinese pangolin) is the source of this 3158-nucleotide long non-coding RNA. RefSeq lists it as uncharacterized. The record is from RefSeq and is a predicted model, not a curated record. NCBI's taxonomy places the organism in Eukaryota, Metazoa, Chordata, Mammalia, Pholidota, Manidae. The transcript has 3 exons.
CCUCAGGUCUGUCUAACUUCAGAACCUUCCUUUCUUCUUCCUACUGUGUUGGGACUUUGAAGAUGCUGAUCAAUCAGAGCUCCAUCUUGCACCUAUUACUAGGUGACUUUAGCAAUGAAAUAGCAGAGUUGGGUCUGGACCAGGAUUGGCCGACAGAGUGAGUUUGCUCUGUUUGCUCUAGAAGUGGCCUUCAGACAUUGAUGUGAAACAGAAAAAAAAAUCAGUCUCCCCCAGUCAUCACCGAAGAAAAGCUGUGCAGGCUGGCAACAUGCUGAUCCUUGUAAAUACUCCCCCUGGCCUGAGGUGGAAGAAGGCCACAGACCUUCGGAAGCCUGGGGAGAGCGGGCCUGGUUGCCAGAGCACCAUGGGUGCUUCCUGCCUCCACAUAGGCACUUGUUGGAGUCCCAGUUUCUUCCAUCUGUGAGACAGAGGAUAAUCUGUUAAAUGGUGGCCAUGGAAGCCACAUGGGAAGUGUGAUGACACUGUAGCCCAAAAGAGGUGAAAUGACUUGCCCAAGGGCAUACAGUCAGAGUGGAAGACUUCAGAUUCAGAUCCAAGCCCUUCUGAUUCAAGUGGAGGAUGAUGAAGGCUGAGAGUGACUGUAAGAAAAUACAAGAAAGAAUAAGAAGUUUUGGGAGAAGAUGGUGAGCUACUUCUAGGACAGGCCAAUUUGGGGUCCUUCUGGAAAUAGAGUUGUCCAACACUGAAUUGGUUCUACAAAUAUGAAACUCAACAGCAAGGUGGAUUCUGGAGAGGAAAACUCGGAAGUCAUCAGCCCAGUUGUUGAAGCCAUGAGAGGGAUGGUUCAUCAAGAGAGGUGGUCUAGCCUCAGAUGAAAGCAAAAGAAGAGAAAAGAUAUAUGGCCCUUUAACAAUGCAGGAAUUAUCCCAUAACUGAUGGCAUACAUAUGUACAUUACCCAUUCACCCUUGCAGCUCAGGAGUGAAUUAUGUAACACCAUCUUGACUCCUAAUAUUAAAUCAUAUGAGUGGACAUGAAAUGCCAAUUUAUACUCAGCACUAGAAAAUGCUUUUCAUGAUACGUACUUUUAAAGGAUUUAUUUUCUUUUCUUAUUCAGUUUCUAAAUCAUUUAUUUCCCUGUGGUUUAAAAAUAAAAAAUACAAUAUAUUUGGACAAGGAAUGUUCUGCUGUAAAAGCAAUAUGCUCAGUGUUGAUGGGGAAAUUUUGAUUGCUUCAGGGUUGAUUUUUUUCUGUGUCUGGCACAUGCAAGAUGAAGCAAAUUCAUAUUAUGAAAUACUAUUUUCUUUUUUCUAUUUUAAUGAAAUGCUUUCAAACUCAAGAUCAGAGCUGACUUACCAUUAUUUCCCAAGUAAAACACCAUCAAAUACAAAUAUUACAAAGGACCUCUGAGUUUUCUUGUUAACUGGUCUACACAUUUGCAUGAAAGAUUCUUGAAAGUUUUCUCCACGCCUCUUCUCCCUACUCUGGGCUGGUUAAUUAACCAAUCAUAAAUAAAAGCUGAAAGUCUGUGGACCUCAAAUCCUGUUCUGGAAAAAAUAAGGGUCACAGAAUAAUUAAAAUUAAUUCCAACUAAUGAGAACCAGACACAAUGACCAAUGGAAACAGGGAAAACAGUUGGCAUCUAACAGGUCAAAACUUUACAGAAAAUGAAUAAUGGAUUCAGAAAUGGAGCAGCUUGCUAAUGUGGCUGCUUAUGGCCUUGGCACUGACUGAAUGACCUUUGGUGGGAGCAGUGGGGAGCUCUAUUCUUCAGAGUACAUUAGCUGUUGAAGUGGUUUCAACUUUAUUGGCUGAAAGGUUUUCCUAUUAACACACCUUUUUACCUGGUUUCCAUCUCUCUGUCGAUACACUGGAGAUCCUGUCUUUUGGCCAGAUCCCACCAUCUUGAAAGAGCCUGUCCCUGACUCAGCCAGGCAGGGACGCUCCAUCCAUCCCUGCUGUCGUGGAGCAGGUGACUGAGGUAGAACGUUACUAUGCGACAUGGUUGACCACCUGGUGGUGGAAAUGAUGGAUCCAUUCCAUCUUACAUGCUGUUUGUGGCACUGUCUAUGGCCAGCAAACCCAUUUCCUCUUCCCAGGCAUCAGGGUAGGGCAGAUUUUUAUAGCUUUCCUCGCAGUUAGUUUGGGCAUCGUGACUGAGUUCCUGCCAAUGGAAUGUGGGCCAAAAUGAUGUCCACUAGGGCACUUCACACUGUAAUGUGCCCACCCAUCACCCAGGGUUCUGUUAACAUGCACACUCUGAGUCAGCAGGUCUGGGGUGGGGCCCGGGAGCCUGCAUUUCAGCAAACUCCCAGGUGGUGUCCAUGCUUCACAGACACACAGACACACUUCAAGUGUUAAGAAUGUACACCAAUCCCAGCCUGGCUGUAAAAUGUCCUAUGCAGACUUCCACCACCUUGCAACAUCUCUACAUAGCUGGAACAAAGCACUUGGGAUGCAGAGACCCUUGAGGGAUGGAAGGGGACUGGAUUCCUGCUUCAUUGACUGGAGAGCUGUGCUCUGCAGAGCUGCUUAAGCCAUAGGGAAUGGUGAGUAGAGCAAGAGGUAACUUUUUAUUGUGUUAAGCCGUUAGUGUCAGGCUUUACUUGUUACCUCUGCGUGGCUUACCCAUACUCUUUUAUCAACUUUCUUUUCUGAGUCUUUCCUUGACUUAUGAUUUUGAAUUAACUUAAUAAACUUACCAGAUACCAACUUUGUACCAGGCAUAAUUCUAGGUGCUGGAGAAUUCAUAGAUGAAGCAGGUGGAGUUUUCUAAGGAGUUGGGAGAGGAGAUAAGAAAUGGUAUCAAAUAAUGAACCAACACAUUUCAAAGGUCUCAGUGCCUGACAAGUCUUGCUGCCUAUACUCAGAAGAGGGAGAUGAUGACCCCAUGGCGGACAUCAAGAAAGGCUUUGUAGAAGUGAUUGUACUGACAUCAGCCUUGAAAGAUGGAUAAAGUUUGAACUUGUAAUGAUUCGGAUAGGGAAGAACACAGCAAGGGAGUUAAAAGGAGCAAACAGCAAGGAGACACACAGGAAGUAUGAGACUUGCCUUGGGAUCGAGCAUAGGAUGAAAGAUUGGAAUAAAGGAAUAUAUAGUAGAAAUGAAGGUCAGAGUUGCAUCAUGGGAUACUUUGAAUGGCAAUUUAAGGAGCUUGGAUUCUAUCCUGAGGACCGUGGAGAACUCUCGAAGGGUUUA